This 583-nucleotide long non-coding RNA is filed under the name Olea europaea subsp. europaea. Lineage: Eukaryota; Viridiplantae; Streptophyta; Magnoliopsida; Lamiales; Oleaceae. The record is from RNAcentral.
GAUAAUUAUGAGAAAAUUUUCUCGAAUCUUAUUUAUAAUAUUGUCAACUCUUAUUCGUUAAUGUGUAUCAAAAUCUCAGACCUUCGCCCAGCAAUAUACCAGUGAUGUAACCUAUGCCCCAUCUGCAUUGUGCAGCAUACAUAAAAUACACACAAGAACUAGCACAGAGAAAGAUGAAGAGGAUUUGGUCAAUGAAGAAACCGAGCAGAGUUUGGCUGCCAUGGAGGUUCUCCACUUCAAUGAAAUGGAAGGGUGUUAGUUUUCAAAUAUGGCUAGUUGAUGAUGUUAUUUUCAAGAUUGUUUAUGUGGUAGAGGCCAUUUUUCUUGUUUCUACUUUGUGCUUCUUCUACCUCUGCUGUGGUUGUCAUUUCUAGUUUUAUUAGUUUAUUCUUUUGAAAUUUUUUUGACCAAAUUCAGCCCACUUAAUUAAUUAGUUUUUAUUCUUUCAUAUAUAAUCAAUUGUAUUUUUUUCUAGUGAAUUUAGUGAUCUUUUGUUAUCAUCUGGUUUUAGCCUGAGAAGGAACAACUAAUUGUAAUCUGUAAAAGGAGUUGAAUUCUUGAAGUGUGCCAUUUUUUAUUUGAG